Molecule: ribosomal RNA, 636 nt
Filed under: Mycobacterium sp. Ri2Ps_4938
Lineage: Bacteria; Bacillati; Actinomycetota; Actinomycetes; Mycobacteriales; Mycobacteriaceae
Description: bacterial SSU rRNA
Rfam family: Bacterial small subunit ribosomal RNA
Source: RNAcentral
AGCCUGAUGCAGCGACGCCGCGUGAGGGACGACGGCCUUCGGGUUGUAAACCUCUUUCAGCACAGACGAAGCGCGAGUGACGGUAUGUGCAGAAGAAGGACCGGCCAACUACGUGCCAGCAGCCGCGGUAAUACGUAGGGUCCGAGCGUUGUCCGGAAUUACUGGGCGUAAAGAGCUCGUAGGUGGUUUGUCGCGUUGUUCGUGAAAACUCACAGCUCAACUGUGGGCGUGCGGGCGAUACGGGCAGACUGGAGUACUGCAGGGGAGACUGGAAUUCCUGGUGUAGCGGUGGAAUGCGCAGAUAUCAGGAGGAACACCGGUGGCGAAGGCGGGUCUCUGGGCAGUAACUGACGCUGAGGAGCGAAAGCGUGGGGAGCGAACAGGAUUAGAUACCCUGGUAGUCCACGCCGUAAACGGUGGGUACUAGGUGUGGGUUUCCUUCCUUGGGAUCCGUGCCGUAGCUAACGCAUUAAGUACCCCGCCUGGGGAGUACGGCCGCAAGGCUAAAACUCAAAGAAAUUGACGGGGGCCCGCACAAGCGGCGGAGCAUGUGGAUUAAUUCGAUGCAACGCGAAGAACCUUACCUGGGUUUGACAUGCACAGGACGCUGGUAGAGAUAUCAGUUCCCUUGUGGCC